The sequence is a small nucleolar RNA, 92 nucleotides long. It matches the Rfam family "Small nucleolar RNA snR57". Rfam says of the family: snR57 is a member of the C/D class of snoRNA which contain the C (UGAUGA) and D (CUGA) box motifs.
UUCUAAAUGAUUAUAUCAAUUAUCAUUUUAACUGAGGAAGUAUAUGCAGGACAAAAUAAAAAAUUAGGAAUUCUUCGUUUAUGAUUUAAGAA